This 74-nucleotide transfer RNA is filed under the name Datura stramonium (jimsonweed). RNAcentral describes it as "tRNA-Met". It matches the Rfam family "tRNA". From Rfam's summary of the family: Transfer RNA (tRNA) molecules are approximately 80 nucleotides in length. The record is from RNAcentral. Lineage: Eukaryota; Viridiplantae; Streptophyta; Magnoliopsida; Solanales; Solanaceae. RNAcentral also lists the same sequence under 1 other name.
CGCAGGGUAGAGCAGUUUGGUAGCUCGCAAGGCUCAUAACCUUGAGGUCACGGGUUCAAAUCCUGUCUCCGCAA